This 253-nucleotide ribosomal RNA is filed under the name uncultured bacterium. RNAcentral's name for it is "partial 16S ribosomal RNA". It matches the Rfam family "Bacterial small subunit ribosomal RNA", at positions 524 to 776 of the family's 1533-position model. The record is from RNAcentral.
UACGAAGGGGGCUAGCGUUGCUCGGAAUCACUGGGCGUAAAGCGCACGUAGGCGGCUUCUUAAGUCAGGGGUGAAAUCCUGGAGCUCAACUCCAGAACUGCCUUUGAUACUGAGGAGCUUGAGUCCGGGAGAGGUGAGUGGAACUGCGAGUGUAGAGGUGAAAUUCGUAGAUAUUGGGAAGAACACCGGUGGCGAAGGCGGCGCUCUGGACCGAGACUGACGCUGAGACGCGAAAGCGUGGGGAGCGAACAGG